GGAUGGACUCGCGGCCUAUCAGACUGGUUGGUGAGUGGUAACGGCUCACCAAGGCGAUCCGAUCGGGUUAGCCGGCCUGAAAAGUGGCGACCGGGCACUACUGGGACUGAGACACGGUCCAGACUCCUACGGGAGGCAGCAGUGGGGAAUCUUGCGCAAUGGGGGCAACCCUGACGCAGGGACGCCGGUGAGUGAUGAAGGCCUUCGGGUUUGUAAAAAGCUCUGUGGGAGGGAGACGAAAUAAUUCAUGGCCAAUAUCCAUGAUUGAUGACGGUAUCCCUUUAGCAAGCACCGGGUAACUCUGUGCCAGCAGCCGGGUAAGACAGAGGGGUGCCACACGUUGUUCG
This 347-nucleotide ribosomal RNA is filed under the name uncultured bacterium. Its description in RNAcentral is "bacterial SSU rRNA". It matches the Rfam family "Bacterial small subunit ribosomal RNA", at positions 223 to 547 of the family's 1533-position model. The record is from RNAcentral.